Molecule: small nuclear RNA, 18 nt
Filed under: Arabidopsis thaliana (thale cress)
Lineage: Eukaryota; Viridiplantae; Streptophyta; Magnoliopsida; Brassicales; Brassicaceae
Description: snRNA_08068
Source: RNAcentral
AGACCGAUAGCGAACAAG